AUCGGAACUUAAGUCUUUGGAAACGUCUUCUCUGGAUCCUAAUGACACGGCUUCUUGGGUCCAUAUGCUAAUCUUCUGUUACACUCUCUUUGAGAAAUACAUCCGGGUGAAGAGGUAUCCCUGGUUCUCACGUAACCAUCUAUACAGGAACAUCCUGAAUUUUCGGUUGAACUUACCGCUGUGCAGGACAUAGGAGGACUCCCGCAGGUUUGAUCACAUCUCAUGCACUGCAAAUAUUCCUGAUUAGGUGGACACGAUGGGCUCGCACCACCUGUGGAUUAAUUCGUGAGAUCAUUUAGCGAGUAUAGUACAAAUUGACACACUUGACAUUUUUACCUUCAGCUAUGGCGCUGAUCGAAACGAAGAGAAGUACCGCCGCGAACAAUUUCAACAUUUUCUAAGCUGUUUACAGCGUUCUCGCUCGUUUACCUCGUCCGAUAUACGUGCGUUAUCAGCAGCUUUCGUUCAUUAUGCACGAUGCACUUCGAUGUGCAUAAACGUUUAACGGUCGCAAAGUUUAUCUUUGAGAUAUUUAAAUCAAUACGUGUACAGCAAUAAAACAACGAGUUCACCGA
Athalia rosae (coleseed sawfly) is the source of this 575-nucleotide long non-coding RNA. RefSeq lists it as uncharacterized. Lineage: Eukaryota; Metazoa; Arthropoda; Insecta; Hymenoptera; Athaliidae. The record is from RefSeq and is a predicted model, not a curated record. The transcript has 3 exons.